GGAUGGACCCGCGGCGUAUUAGCUAGUUGGUGAGGUAAAGGCUCACCAAGGCAGUGAUACGUAGCCGACCUGAGAGGGUAAUCGGCCACAUUGGGACUGAGACACGGCCCAGACUCCUACGGGAGGCAGCAGUAGGGAAUCUUCCACAAUGGACGCAAGUCUGACCGAGCAACGCCGCGUGAGUGAAGAAGGGUUUCGGCUCGUAAAGCUCUGUUGUUAGAGAAGAACAUGGGUAGUUAGUAACUGUAUCGUCCAGUGACGGUAUUUAACCAGAAAGCCACGGCUAACUACGUGCCAGCAGCCGCGGUAAUACGUAGGUGGCAAGCGUUAUCCGGAUUUAUUGGGCGUAAAGCGAGCGCAGGCGGUCUUUUAAGUCUAAUGUGAAAGCCUUCGGCUCAACCGAAGAAGUGCAUUGGAAACUGGGAGACUUGAGUGCAGAAGAGGACAGUGGAACUCCAUGUGUAGCGGUGAAAUGCGUAGAUAUAUGGAAGAACACCAGUGGCGAAGGCGGCUGUCUGGUCUGCAACUGACGCUGAGGCUCGAAAGCAUGGGUAGCGAACAGGAUUAGAUACCCUGGUAGUCCAUGCCGUAAACGAUGAUUACUAAGUGUUGGAGGGUUUCCGCCCUUCAGUGCUGCAGCUAACGCAUUAAGUAAUCCGCCUGGGGAGUACGACCGCAAGGUUGAAACUCAAAAGAAUUGACGGGGGCCCGCACAAGCGGUGGAGCAUGUGGUUUAAUUCGAAGCUACGCGAAGAACCUUACCAGGUCUUGACAUCUUCUGACAGCUCUAAGAGAUUAAAGGUUCCCUUCGGGGACAGAAUGACAGGUGGUGCAUGGUUGUCGUCAGCUCGUGUCGUGAGAUGUUGGGUUAAGUCCCGCAACGAGCGCAACCCUUAUUACUAGUUGCCAGCAUUAAGUUGGGCACUCUAGUGAGACUGCCGGUGACAAACCGGAGGAAGGUGGGGACGACGUCAAAUCAUCAUGCCCCUUAUGACCUGGGCUACACACGUGCUACAAUGGAUGGUACAACGAGUCGCGAGACCGCGAGGUUAAGCUAAUCUCUUAAAACCAUUCUCAGUUCGGACUGUAGGCUGCAACUCGCCUACACGAAGUCGGAAUCGCUAGUAAUCGCGGAUCAGCAUGCCGCGGUGAAUACGUUCCCGGGCCUUGUACACACCGCCCGUCACACCAUGAGAGUUUGUAACACCCAAAGCCGGUGGGGUAACCUUUUAGGAG
Molecule: ribosomal RNA, 1236 nt
Filed under: Pediococcus pentosaceus
Lineage: Bacteria; Bacillati; Bacillota; Bacilli; Lactobacillales; Lactobacillaceae
Description: bacterial SSU rRNA
Rfam family: Bacterial small subunit ribosomal RNA
Source: RNAcentral